UAAAGGUUUGGUCCUGGCCCUAUUAUUAGCUGUUAAUAAACUUACACAUGCAAGUAUCCGCACACCAGUGAAAAUGCCCUCCAACUCUAGGGUUGACAAAGAGGUGCAGGCAUCAAGCACACCUUCUUCUGGUAGCUCAUAACGCCUUGCUCAGCCACGCCCCCACGGGAGACAGCAGUGAUAAAAAUUAAGCUAUGAACGAAAGUUUGACUAAGUUAUAUUAAUAAAGGGUUGGUAAAUUUCGUGCCAGCCACCGCGGUCACACGAUUAACCCAAGCUAAUAAAUACCGGCGUAAAGCGUGUUUAAGUAAUAUAAUAAAAAUAAGGUUAAAUUUCAGCUGAGCUGUAAAAAGCCCCAGCUAAUGUAAGAUAAACUACGAAAGUGACUUUAAAUUAUCUGAAUACACGACAGCUAAGGUUCAAACUGGGAUUAGAUACCCCACUAUGCUUAGCCGUAAACUUAAGAAGUUCACUAAACAAUUCUACUCGCCAGAGAACUACAAGCCAUGGCUUAAAACUCAAAGGACUUGGCGGUGCUUCAUAUCCCUCUAGAGGAGCCUGUUCUGUAAUCGAUAAACCCCGAUAGACCUCACCAGCCCUUGCCAAUUCAGCCUAUAUACCGCCAUCCUCAGCAAACCCUAAAGGGAGAGAUAGUAAGCAUAAACAUAACACAUAAAAACGUUAGGUCAAGGUGUAGCCUAUGGGCUGGAAAGUAAUGGGCUACAUUUCCUUAUACAAGGAUACUAUACUAAAAUAUACGAAAAUUAACAUGCAAUUGUUAAUUAAAGGUGGAUUUAGCAGUAAAUCAAGAAUAGAGAGCUUGAUUGAACUAGGCCCUGAAGCACGUACACACCGCCCGUCACCCUCCUCAAGUAUUUAAGACUACUCAAAAUAUAUUACAAGAUCUAUAACUACAAGAGGAGACAAGUCGUAACAAGGUAAGCGUACUGGAAAGUGUGCUUGGAUAACU
Molecule: non-coding RNA, 970 nt
Filed under: Taphozous melanopogon (black-bearded tomb bat)
Lineage: Eukaryota; Metazoa; Chordata; Mammalia; Chiroptera; Emballonuridae
Description: 12S ribosomal RNA
Rfam family: Bacterial small subunit ribosomal RNA
Source: RNAcentral